This 85-nucleotide transfer RNA is filed under the name Cyanidiococcus yangmingshanensis. RNAcentral's name for it is "tRNA-Leu". It matches the Rfam family "tRNA". From Rfam's summary of the family: Transfer RNA (tRNA) molecules are approximately 80 nucleotides in length. Their secondary structure includes four short double-helical elements and three loops (D, anti-codon, and T loops). Lineage: Eukaryota; Rhodophyta; Bangiophyceae; Cyanidiales; Cyanidiaceae. The record is from RNAcentral.
CUCUUAUGGUGAAAAUAGGUAGACACGAUAGUCUCAAAAUCUAUUACUUGUUAAAAGUGUGUUGGUUCAAAUCCAACUAAGAGUA